GACGAACGCUGGCGGCGUGCUUAACACAUGCAAGUCGAGCGGUAAGGCCCUUUCGGGGGUACACGAGCGGCGAACGGGUGAGUAACACGUGGGUGACCUGCCCUCAGCUCUGGGAUAAGCCUGGGAAACCGGGUCUAAUACUGGAUAUGACUCCAUGACGCAUGUUGUGGGGUGGAAAGCCUUGUGCGGCUGAGGAUGGGCCCGCGGCCUAUCAGCUUGUUGGUGGGGGAUGGCCUACCAAGGCGACGACGGGUAGCCGGCCUGAGAGGCGACCGGCCACACUGGACUGAGACACGGCCCAGACUCCGUACGGGAGGCAGCAGGUGGGGAAUCUUGCGCAAGUGGGCGAAAGCCUGACGCAGCGACGCCGCGUGAGGGAU
Molecule: ribosomal RNA, 380 nt
Filed under: uncultured bacterium
Lineage: Bacteria
Description: bacterial SSU rRNA
Rfam family: Bacterial small subunit ribosomal RNA
Source: RNAcentral